RNAcentral lists this ribosomal RNA (253 nucleotides) under uncultured bacterium. Its description in RNAcentral is "partial 16S ribosomal RNA". It matches the Rfam family "Bacterial small subunit ribosomal RNA", at positions 524 to 776 of the family's 1533-position model. The record is from RNAcentral.
UACGGGGGGGGCAAGCGUUGUUCGGAAUUACUGGGCGUAAAGGGCUCGUAGGCGGCCAACUAAGUCAGACGUGAAAUCCCUCGGCUUAACCGGGGAGCUGCGUCUGAUACUGGAUGGCUUGAGGUUGGGAGAGGGAUGCGGAAUUCCAGGUGUAGCGGUGAAAUGCGUAGAUAUCUGGAGGAACACCGGUGGCGAAGGCAGGUCUCUGGGCCACUACUGACGCUGAGAAGCGAAAGCAUGGGGAGCGAACAGG